RNAcentral lists this ribosomal RNA (258 nucleotides) under uncultured Latescibacterota bacterium. Its description in RNAcentral is "uncultured Latescibacteria bacterium partial 16S ribosomal RNA". It matches the Rfam family "Bacterial small subunit ribosomal RNA", at positions 1124 to 1382 of the family's 1533-position model. Lineage: Bacteria; Pseudomonadati; Candidatus Latescibacterota. The record is from RNAcentral.
GGUAAAGCUGGGAACUCUGGGGAGACUGCCGGUGAUAAACCGAGGAAGGCGGGGAUGACGUCAAGUCCUCAUGGCCCUUACAUCCCGGGCUACACACGUGCUACAAUGGCAGGUACAGAGGGCUGCGAAGCCGCGAGGUGGAGCGAAUCCCAGAAAACCUGUCUCAGUCCGGAUUGAAGUCUGCAACUCGACUUCAUGAAGGCGGAAUCGCUAGUAACCGCGAAUCAGCAGGUCGCGGUGAAUACGUUCCCGGGCCUU